RNAcentral lists this long non-coding RNA (825 nucleotides) under Homo sapiens (human). RNAcentral's name for it is "HSALNT0337498". Lineage: Eukaryota; Metazoa; Chordata; Mammalia; Primates; Hominidae. The record is from RNAcentral.
AGUGAAGCAUGAAGACAAGAAAGAAAGCUGACCAAUUUGGGGAAUCUAGUCCAUGCUCCGCUGCUCUCUUACAAAGGUGAAGAGGGACUUACUGAUGACAGUCACAGUGGUAGAAGAACCCCAAUAGCUUUGGAAUAACCCCAAAGCCAGAGGAUUUUCUCCUCCUUUCCUAUGGCGUGGCCCCUUCAGGAACGUUUGCAUUCAGCAUCAUUCUAGAGCAACAUGGCAACCUGGAAAUACAGCAGUGGAUGAAAUCAUAAUUGCCCAUGUUAAAGAAGAGGUUUAAGUAUAUGGGCCUGAGAUACUAUUCUUGGUUUCCAGGGCCUAUAUUUGGAGUGCAAGGGUUCUGGAAGUUUCUGUAUGUCCUGGAAGUAAUGUGGAUGUGGUAAGAGAACUGGAAAAGAGCAGAGAUCAGGAAGCAGAGGCUGAAGAGUGAGAAGAACACCAGCACUAGAGGCCACCACUGGGAGGUCAGCAGGGGAGAAGUACAGAACCUGAGAGAACAGAUGAAUUCAGCAGUGCUUCAUGGUAUGAACACAGGCUCAGCAUGUUUGUGACCAACUGGGUCCAUCCAGACCACAGCAGGGGCCACCAGGACAGGGGAGGGUGGCAGACCAGGUGCUACUUCAUGCAACAGGUCACUGAGCCUGCUUGAGACAUUAUAUCUGAGAAGACAAGUAGAAAGAAGAAAAAGGUGAAGACUGUAUAACAAAUUCUUCAAAUUGCUCGGGGUUAUUUAGUGGCCAGUGAAAACUGUGAUCUAUACUGAUUAUCUGAAGAAACUUUCGUGUGUAGAUAUCAAUAAAAUGUGUGUCAAGAAUGGAA